Non-coding RNA from Xyrichtys novacula (pearly razorfish), 1070 nucleotides. NCBI's taxonomy places the organism in Eukaryota, Metazoa, Chordata, Actinopteri, Labriformes, Labridae. The record is from the annotation of a GenBank genome assembly.
AAACAAAGUUAGCGUGCUACAAUAUCGGACAGCAGAAACCAACCAGAAAGUUCGGAAAAUUGUCUGAAUCCUCCUUUGGCCACGACUGCCGACACAAGCAAGAAAACACUCAAACAUAAACAGUCAGCAAGAAAACAGUCAACACCAAACCGGUUAACAAGAAAAUGGUCAACACCAAAACAGUCAACGUAAAACAGUCGGCAAGAAAACAGUUAACCAUAAUCAGUCAACAAGAAAACAGUCAACAAGAAAACAGUCAACCAUAAACAGUCAACAAGAAAACAGUCAGCAAAAAACAGUCAACCAUAAACAGUCAACAAGAAAACAGUCAGCAAGAAAACGUCAACCAUAAACAGCCAACAAAAAACAGUCAACAAGAAAACAGUCAACAAGAAAACAGUCAGCAAAAAACAGUCAACAAGAAAACAGUCAACCAUAAACAGUCAACAAAAAACAGUCAACAAGAAAACAGUCAGCAAGAAAACGUCAACUAUAAUCAGUCAACAAGAAAACAGUCAACCAUAAACAGUCAACACCAAAAGAGUCAACAAAAAACAGUCAGCAAGAUAACAGUCAACAAGAAAACAGUCAGCAAGAAAACAGUCAGCAAGAAAACGUCAACUAUAAUCAGUCAACAAGAAAACAGUCAACCAUAAACAGUCAACACCAAAACAGUCAACAAGAAAACAGUCAACAAGAAAACAGUCAGCAAGAAAACAGUCAGCAAGAAAACAGUCAACAAGAAAACAGUCAACAAGAAAAUGCUGCUCCCCCGUGUCGUUCAGGAGCCCAAACAAAGUUAGCGUGCUACAAUAUCGGACAGUAGAAACCAACCAGAAAGUUCGGAAAAUUGUCUGAAUCCUCCUUUGGCCACGACUGCCGACACAAGCAAGAAAACAAAGUAAAUACCGGAGACUCUGGAGUCUGGAGCAGGAGCGUCUGUUUGUGGGCGGGGCUUAAGAGAGGGAGGGGAGGAGCUGAGGGGAAAACUGGUUGGAGGGGUAGAGUUUACAUUCAAGAUUUCUCCUAAAAACUGGAACCUCCUCAGAUCCUGACUACAACACCUUUAA